RNAcentral lists this long non-coding RNA (744 nucleotides) under Mytilus galloprovincialis (Mediterranean mussel). Lineage: Eukaryota; Metazoa; Mollusca; Bivalvia; Mytilida; Mytilidae. The record is from RNAcentral.
CAAUUUUGUAAAGUUUUCUAAUUUUCAGCUGCCAUUUUACUUCAUUCAUGGUCCAUCAAUCAAAAUCUUGUGUUAAUGAUUUAGUCUGUUUCUAAGUUACAGUGUCACAGUUUAAGUAUUUUUUAUCUCGCAUGUUGAUUUGUUGUUAAGAAGAUUUAAUGGUUGUCUGAAAAAUGUAACCUGCCCAGAAUAUUCAUUGUCAACUGAUUAAUGUCUAGCUAUUGUUUUUGAUGAGUUGAUGGCAAGAUAUAUUCGAUUGACUAACGUAACCCAUGACUUUUACAUAUAACAAGUUGUAUUUCUUUGCCUAAUGUGUCAUGUUAGUAUCACUGUUACACUAGUACUGUCAGUAAAUUAUCAUUUAUUAUACAGCUAUAUUUCUGGUGAGUUUUUUGUUAGUAUUUGUACUUUUAUAACCAUACUCAUGAUUUCUUCAGAUGUAAAAGGACAUGAAAGUUAGCUAAGAAUAACAAACUAAAGACAUGUAUGUAGAUCUCACUCAAUAUUGUUGACAAGGUUAAAGAUUCAAUGAUGAAGAGAUAUUACCAUUAACUGUUGACCAAAAGCAAUUUAUUACUGUAGUUAUAUUAUUGUUUCAGUAUUUUUCUGUACAUACAUAUUAUUUCUUUUUUAAGUACCAGAUUUAUAUUUAGUUAAAUUUAAUUCAGUAUACUCUUUCUGUGAUAUCAGUUAUACAGUAUAGGUUUAUAUAUGUUUCUAAAUAAAUACUUUUGUAAUGUUAAA